This 253-nucleotide ribosomal RNA is filed under the name uncultured bacterium. RNAcentral's name for it is "partial 16S ribosomal RNA". It matches the Rfam family "Bacterial small subunit ribosomal RNA", at positions 524 to 776 of the family's 1533-position model. The record is from RNAcentral.
UACGUAGGUGACAAGCGUUGUCCGGAUUUACUGGGCGUAAAGAGCGCGCAGGCGGUCGUUCAAGUCGAGUGUGAAAGCCCCCGGCUCAACUGGGGAGGGUCAUUCGAUACUGAUCGACUCGAAGGCAGGAGAGGGUAGUGGAAUUCCCGGUGUAGUGGUGAAAUGCGUAGAUAUCGGGAGGAACACCAGUGGCGAAGGCGACUACCUGGCCUGUUCUUGACGCUAAGGCGCGAAAGCUAGGGGAGCAAACGGG